This 413-nucleotide ribosomal RNA is filed under the name bacterium enrichment culture clone ALO1_GLFRUDD03GI0EG. RNAcentral describes it as "bacterial SSU rRNA". It matches the Rfam family "Bacterial small subunit ribosomal RNA", at positions 9 to 420 of the family's 1533-position model. The record is from RNAcentral.
GAGUUUGAUCCUGGCUCAGAUUGAACGCUGGCGGCAUGCCUUACACAUGCAAGUCGAACGGCAGUACGGGAGCUUGCUCCUGGUGGCGAGUGGCGAACGGGUGAGUAAUGCAUCGGAACGUAUCCUGGAGUGGGGGAUAACGUAGCGAAAGUUACGCUAAUACCGCAUAUUCUGUGAGCAGGAAAGCGGGGGACCUUCGGGCCUCGCGCUCUUGGAGCGGCCGAUGUCGGAUUAGCUAGUUGGUGAGGUAAAGGCUCACCAAGGCGACGAUCCGUAGCAGGUCUGAGAGGAUGAUCUGCCACACUGGAACUGAGACACGGUCCAGACUCCUACCGGGAGGCAGCAGUGGGGAAUUUUGGACAAGUGGGGGCAACCCUGAUCCAGCCAUGCCGCGUGAGUGAAGAAGGCCUCGG